Molecule: long non-coding RNA, 6613 nt
Organism: Peromyscus californicus insignis
Lineage: Eukaryota; Metazoa; Chordata; Mammalia; Rodentia; Cricetidae
Exons: 7
Source: RefSeq, a predicted model, not a curated record
UCCCGGGGCCGCCGGCCACCGCCGCCUCUCCGGGCCUGGAGGAGGGAGCUCGCGGCGGCGCCGGUGCCAGCGGGAAAUCCGGAAAGGUGGCGGCGCUGGCUCCGGCCACCAGGUCUAGAAGAUACGUGCAAGACUCCAAAACUCCAGGGCAGGUGGGGCUGCUAGAGGCAUGGAGCCUGAAGGUUUGAAUCACCAGGGAGAUUGGUGGCAAGUCCAGCUGUCAUCAGAGAGGCUUCAUCCAGCAACUGAUGGAAGCAGAUGAAGAGACUCACGGCCAAACAUUAGGCAGAGAGAGUCCAAAUUGAAGAUCUCCAUUGGGUCCCUCCUUCUGGAGCUCAAGGAACCCUGAGGAAAAAGAGAGGAACAUAAUGAUGGGGCACAUCAGGGACACAACAGCUUUGAAAAUUCUUUUUAGGGCCAGCAAGAUGGCACAAAGGGUGAAGAGGGUUAGCCACCAAGUCUGGCAACUUGAGUUUGAUCCCCAGGACCCAUAAGGAUGACACAAACUAAGUAACUGGAAACUUGCCUGCGCUCCUUCCUGGGACCCUUUCUGCCUCUGCACUCCUGCUUCCCAGGGAGACCCCAGAGAAUGGACAGUCCUGGGACUAUGUGGAGAGCUUCCGAUCUCAUUCACUGCUGCUUCUCACAAAGGCAUGAUUUCCACUGUUUUUUCCUCAAUUUGAUGCUUGGAAAGAUUGCUCUUAUGCAAGAUAUCACUGGUUUAUAAGCAAUUUGAAAUUUAAACACUGUACCUGUCAUUUUUAAAAAAUGUUAAUUUUUCUGUGGAUACAAACUUGGGCCUUAUUGGAAAAUAAAUAAAGCUUAGGGGCAAAUUCAUAGCACAAAGUAAUUAUACGUAGGAAGUCUUGUGUCUGUUUUAUUUCUCUCAGUUCAUGGAGCAGUGUUCCCAGAAAACAAAACAAACCACAAAAAAUCUCUGCCUUUUUGAAGUUAAUUCUUCCAUGAAAACCGUGAUGGGUCAGGACACCCUUGUGUAUUUUUGUACCUGCCCAUCUUGAUAUAUGUCUAAGAUUUUCUCAUGCUUUUAAUUCUGUAAACAUUCAAUGCUGAGUGAAUGCUUAUUUUUGAUACAAUCAAACCCGUGGCACACCUGUCUCUGAGGAUGAAGGGGCAGUGAGUCACCGAGAGGAGGAGGGUCACAUUAACCCUUGGAAGACAUGGGGGAUAAUUUAUGAGCUUGUUUUUGAGGGCAUAGAGUGAAAGCACUCAGGGUCUCCUGAACGAGGUCAUCUCCUUGCUCUCACCACAGGUCCUAUCUUGACUGGUGUCAUGGGAUUUAGGAAAGCAGUUUUAACAAGUUGUAAGAAAUACCACUGCAGAUGCCCAUACUCAGCUGUCCCCAGCUGUCUGCAAAUCAGCCCCGCUGAACACGGCUGUUCUGCAUCAUGUUGGAAAUGCAUCUUUUUCUCUGACGUAGAUACAGCCUGCAUCUGGGACACAAAUCUGAGGAAUAAAAGAACCAGCGGUUCUUUCUCUGUUGAUCUUCACUCCAAGCAGGACCUUUCUGUCGGUGUUCUUUGUCUAACUGUACACAGAAGCGGGAAAAAGGGCAUAAAAUGGAAUGCUAAAAGCCAGCCCUCUGAUGGACCAGGGCAAAGAGAACACGGUGUCAGGGUGGCAUCUCAUAAUGUAAGGAAAAGCAAUUUGCUGAUCUAGUGAGAUCUUAUCCACUUCACACCACUGGCUGCUCACCUGUCAGCUUCUAAAGUGCCAUGGCUUCUGACAGACACAGAGUGUGAGUCUGCUGAAGAGGAGAGAGAUUCCAGCCAGUGCUGCUGUCUGAGGAGACCUACGACACGAAGAGGACCAUGGAGAAGUGAGCUAGCUCCAACACUGGAUGACACCUUUCCUUCUAAUUUUCAAAGCAUGAGCUUCACUACAAACUGAAUCCUUUUCUUCUAAAAUGUCAGUUCUACUAUGAGGAAUUUAGUCAAAAAAGUGUCAGCACACCAUGCAAAGUACAACACUGUGGCCUUCCAAGUUAAGAGUAUCUUAUCCUUCUCACAGACUAAAGCAUAUUUGUAAGUUUCUUUACAUUAACUGCCACUGGGGAGAUGGCUCAGUGGUGGUGGGGGCUCUUGCAGAGGACCAGGUUCAAUUCCCAGCACCACACAGCAGCUUACAACUAUCCAUAACUCAAGUUCCAAUGACCUCUUUUGGCCUCUGUGGGCACCAGUCAUGAACCUGGUGUACAGACAUACAUGCAGGCAAAACAAACACAUAAAAUAAAAUUAAUGAAUCUACAUUAACUGCCAAUCAAUGGCCCCAGGCUCAAACUGUUUUUCUCCCAUCUCUUGCAUGCAGUUCUGGACUGAAGGUAAUCAUAAAAGUCUUUUUUUUUCUUGGCUCACGCCCACCACAGGAUAUCAGCUGUAACAGCUCUGGGAACAUUUAUGUCAAUUAUGCUCUAGGCACCGCAUCACUGAUCUCUAACUCACAACGUCCAAGACAGACUUCUGACCCAGAGAAGAUGACAACAUUUCUGUGGUCUUGAAGUUUUGUGAGAUCCAGCUGAAAAGAACAUUAACAAGAGAUGAAGUCAGGCAAAGCUUUGUAAGCCAACCAAGGGCUCCAGUGCGCUGUGACAUGUGACAUACCCAGGCCACAGGGGAGCUGUUCCAGGUAAGGGGAGAAGCCUAUGUGGCAGGACAGAGAGAGGGCUCUCCACAGGAGAGGCGAGUGAGUCCAGUGUAGAGGAAACUGAGGGCCUUAUUGAGAAUGAACACGAAGAGUAGGUAGAAAAGUUGGGCUCCAGAGCCUAGUCUCAAUUGGCACAGCAUCGCCCAACACCUGAGAAGGUGUGGGACUCUUUCUGUACUGCCUGAGCAUUUUGCUUCAGGCAUUAGAAAGUGGAUGUGGCACAGCUUAUGUCUCUAAGCGCACACAGUCUGACGAUAUCAAUGAAAGAUCUUAGCAAAUGUGGUGUGAGUGCCCCCACCCUAACACCACUUUAGAACAGUGCCAGGGAACAGCCUGGCAGAGUCUAGGGAUGAAGAACAGCCGCCUACCUGCAAAAAAUAUUGCCCAGUCUCUAUAUUUUACAGAAAUCCUUAGUAGGAAUUACAUGAUAAAUAAUAAAUCUUCCAGUUCACUAGCAUUCUUACACACUCACUUGUUUUUAAUUUAAAAUUAUAUCAUGUUAUGUGUCAGACAGAAUUCUAGGUUCUGCAGGUUAACAAACAUCUGAGAAGCCUCUAUGUUUCUCCUGCAUUUAUAAUCGAUCACAAGGGGCUGGCGAGGCUCAGUGUGCCACGAGGCUCUGUGAGGGAUAGCAACACUGGUCAAUAGGCCAGGCUGGGAAGAGAUUCUCAACUGACGGUAGUCUAGAGUUCCCUAGAAAAACAGCCCAGACCUAGCGUGCAAACUUUGAAGAGGAGAAAAGAGCAGGUACAUUUGAUGAAUUCUGAGAUUAUUGAAACGUGAAUGAAUGUGCUGUUCUUGCCUUGGCCAUGAAGUCUAUCCCUUGUAGUAAUAUUUUCGUAGAAAACAAAAUACUAAUCCAACCAAAGCUUGGUACUAUAGCCAGUCACAUACUGUGUAGCAGAAUUAUUAAAAGUCCCCUUUUAACAUUUUAUGAGCACAGAUCCCUUAGAAGUAGAGCCUGAGGCAGGAAUUAGAAAACACGUGACUCAUUCAUGGAGAGUUCUCCAGAAGUCGUAAAGAGAAAACGGGAUAACACAGCAGAUGCUGCUAAGCAAUGACGGGGAUUUAAGUGAAAAUUAAGCCUUGACUCCAUGCACUCAAGAGGAGAGCUAGAGCAGAAAUCAUAAGAGGAUCCUUCCUUCUUCCUGUGACUCCAUUAUUUUAGCCACACAUUGGCAUCCAGAGCUAAGUGAUGCAAAUGCAGCAUCUUGAGAAAGUCAAGAGGAACAGAAAGUGUAAAUGUGUAUGCUGAUGUUUUUGUCAGUAUUGAUGGGGUUCUGUGCGUGCGUGCGUGCGUGCGUGCGUGCGUGUGUGUGUGUGUGUGUGUGUGUGUGUGUGUGUGUGUGAUGAAGAAGUUAGGCAAGCAUCCUGCUGUCCCAAGGAUGAAUUCUGUAAAUCAGGGUUUCUCAGAUGGAGGUCUGAAAUGUGGGCUGCUAUGUGUCAGAAGGCCUGACAGCAUGUGUUGGCCUUUCAUUUGUCCAAAGUGAAUCACAGAUUCCUGAAAGAAUCAUAAACUCGGUUUGCAGUUGUCUGGAGGUUAGGUCAAAGGACAGUGUUUUUCUGUCCUGAGACUGGGGUUGGAAUGACAUACUCCUACAGUGAAUUUUGUGGGGUCAUAAAAACAAAGAAGUGGCCUGGAACCCUCCUCUGCACAUCUCCUGCAUCUGUCACUCCCUCCUAAAUCUGAUCUUUCAGAACAAAAUCACUUUAUGUAUUACAAGAUUUGAAUUUUCAUAUGUAUGUUGUUUCCUAAACAUGCCAGUUUGAAGUCCUUUUAAUAGUUUAGUACAAUGUGCAAUAUAAGGACAUGCUGGUAUUUCUCUUUAGAGUUGGUGUUCUUUUUGUGACCUUAAUAACAUGUCUUCUCUUAUGGAUGGUAAGUAGAGAAUUUAAUUAUCCACUGCUCUUACAAGACAACGAUGGCUAAUGUUUCAUGAUUUGAGGAGUAUGAGGUCACAUGCCAUAUGUUUAUAAACCACUUUUGUGUUUCCAAUAUUGUUCUUGACCCUGUUGGACGUUGUGAAGAGAAAGUAGAAAUGAUUCCCUCUUCUGUGAAUAACAAAGUAGUGGAAAUAAGUAAAAGAAAGACAAGUUAAAAUGUCCCACAUUCAAUGAUAAAGUCACCACAUUCACAGGCAGUGUGCUGAUGAAUGACCUCAGGAGACUCUUGAACAUCCUUAUGGGGCAAACAAUAUUUAAUUGUCAGAAGAGUGUGGCUAAACACAUGUACUUGGUUAUUUUAAUACAACUUUGCCACUUGGAGUUUAUAUAAAAAUGACUCAUAACAUUCAAGGGUGCUGAAGCUCUUCUGGAAUGAACAGAUGUGGCAAAAAGAUCUGUGCAGUGUGAGCCUGAUGCUUGCUUUCAGGCUUGCCAAGCAUGGGUGGGUGCUGUGGUUAUCCAUAAGCUUUGAAAAUGUUUUAAGCUCUCACCCUAGAAAUUUGUGUAUUAAUUUUUUGAUCCAAGGAUUAUAGUUUUUUUUUCAGAAAACUGUAUUGAUGUUUCUAAUUUUAGAUAUACCUAAUAAAUAUCACCCAGAGAUUUAUUUCAAAGCUAAUGCAUACCAGCUCUAUCAUACACCACAAAGAUUGUAUCCCAAGCCAAGUUCCUGACUCUCAGCCAUCCACAGAUUUCAGUAAUCAAUUACUCAAUAUAUGCCGUAUUAAUGUGGUACACUUCCAUGGAAUCUUGCCUAUAGGCAAGGCGAGAGCAAUCUAUCAGUAAUCCAUCCUCUAAACCAUUUCCAAAGCACCCAGUGAUUAGCCCAGAAAUAUACCCAUCCUGAAGUUUUCUGGGAACCCCAGUGAAUCCGUCCAAACCUCAUGUCUUCAUUUCCCGAAGGAAAACAACCACAUUAUUUACAGUAUCUAUCUGUGGGGUUUGUGUAGGAGACCCAGACAACUGCUGGUGAGUCUGACAAUUUCCUGGGAUAAAAUCUAACUCAGAGCUCCCUCAUGGAUACCAGAGGGACACAAAUGGUUAUGGCCACUGUUUCACAAGAAACGCCAAACUACAUCCACAAAAAAAAAAAAAAAAAUGCAGUAAAUGAAAUUAAUAUUUAAAAAAAAACUACAAGAAAACAUUUGCAAUACAAAAAGGCAAAGAAUGAUUAUCUUAGUGAUUAUCAUAAUAUAUCAAAGUCUUCUGCAUGAGGGAAAGAACUAAUAUCUUAGUGGAGACUUAGAAAACGUGUGGGAACAAGCAGCACACAGACAGAGUGACUAAGACCAAGAUAGUGGACCAUGACAUCUGGGGUGCUGUCUAGUCACUGACCUUUAGCUUUUCUUCAGCUUGGAAUACUACUGAUUACAGACACGCACAUCAUGACAGAAUUUCCUUCAGGUCUCAGCUCUAAUGUCUCCUGGUCAGGAUGCUCCCCAUAGUCAUUCUAUGUAAGCUAAAGUCUCCUAUGUGGCUAUCUUCAUUUCACGGCAUCAGUACCUCACCUGUGUUUGUUUAUAACAUAUCCUCUACUGUCCUUGGCUAGAGCAUAGAUUGCAUGAGGGUAGGGACCAUGACUGUUGUAGUUGGUAGUGCCAUCAGCACUUAAAUGAGGCCUUUCAUACUAGAAGUUUUCAGAAAAAUCUGUUGAGAGGCUUAUUGCCCUUGCAGAGGGCCUGCGUUGGGUUCCUAGCACCCAUACCAGGCUGCUCACAACUGCAUGUAAAUCCAUUCCAGGAUGUAUGAUGCACUUUCCUGUCAUCCGUGGACAUUGCACACACACACACACACACACACACACACACACACACACACACACACACACACACAGGCAUCAAGAACUUAGACACGGAUUGAUGCCGGGCGGUGGUGGCGCACGCCUUUAAUCCCAGCACUCGGGAGGCAGAGCCAGGCGGAUCUCUGUGAGUUCGAGGCCAGCCUGGGCUACCAAGUGAGUUCCAGGAAAAGGCGCAAAACUACACAGAGAAACCCUGUCUCGAAAAACCAA